RNAcentral lists this ribosomal RNA (436 nucleotides) under uncultured bacterium. RNAcentral's name for it is "partial 16S ribosomal RNA". It matches the Rfam family "Bacterial small subunit ribosomal RNA", at positions 28 to 507 of the family's 1533-position model. The record is from RNAcentral.
GAUGAACGCUGGCGGUAUGCCUAAUACAUGCAAGUCGAACGGGGUUCAUAGUCACUUAGUGGCGGACGGGUGAGUAACGCGUGAGAAUUUGGCCUCAGGUCCGGGACAACCACGGGAAACGGUGGCUAAUACAGGAUGUGCUAUAUUGGUGAAAGAUUAAUUGCCUCAGGAUGAGCUCGCGACUGAUUAGCUAGUUGGUGGGGUAAAGGCUUACCAAGGCGACGAUCAGUAACUGGUCUGCGAGGAUGACCAGUCACACUGGUACUGAGACACGGCCCAGGCUCCUACGGGAGGGAGCAGUAGCGAAAUUUCCGCAAUGGGCGUAAGCCUGACGGGGCAAUGCCGCGUGAGAGAGGGAGACUCUUGGGUUGUAAACCUCUUUUCUCAGGGGAGAAGAAUGACGGUACCUGAGGAGUCAGCAUCGGCUAACUCCGUG